GAGUUUGAUCAUGGCUCAGGAUAAACGCUGGCGGCGUGCAUGAGACAUGCAAGUCGAACGGACGAUCAGGGCUUGCUCUGAUCGUUAGUGGCGGACGGCUGAGUAACGCGUAGGUGACCUGCCCCGAAGUGGGGAAUAACUGCCCGAAAGGGUGGCUAAUACCGCAUGUGGUGGUGUGUUCAUUCACACCAGUAAAGCCGCAAGGCGCUUCGGGAGGGGCCUGCGUCCGAUUAGCUCGUUGGUGGGGUAACGGCUCACCAAGGCGACGAUCGGUAGGUGGUCUGAGAGGACGAUCACCCAGACUGGGACUGAGACACGGCCCAGACUCCUACGGGAGGCAGCAGUCGGGAAUUUUGCGCAAUGGACGAAAGUCUGACGCAGCAACGCCGCGUGAGGGAUGAAGGCCUUCGGUUGUAAACUCUUUUAUCAGGGAAGAUAAUGACGGUACCUGAUGAAUAAGUCACGGCUAACUACGUGCCAGCCGCCGCCGU
RNAcentral lists this ribosomal RNA (491 nucleotides) under uncultured bacterium. RNAcentral's name for it is "bacterial SSU rRNA". It matches the Rfam family "Bacterial small subunit ribosomal RNA", at positions 9 to 521 of the family's 1533-position model. The record is from RNAcentral.